RNAcentral lists this long non-coding RNA (5773 nucleotides) under Canis lupus familiaris (dog). RNAcentral describes it as "lncRNA (ENSCAFG00845028704.1)". Lineage: Eukaryota; Metazoa; Chordata; Mammalia; Carnivora; Canidae. The record is from RNAcentral.
CACCACAUGGCCUUCAGCUGAUUCCUCUGCUUCAACUAGACUGCUGUAUUUUUUCAGUUCAAUUAUUUUAUUACUCAGGUCUGUGACUUCUUUCUUAUAUUUUCCAUCUCUUUGUUGAAGUUCUCAAUAUGUCCAUCCAUUCAUCUCCUGAAUCCAGUAAGCAUCUUCAUCAGCUAAGUUACUUAUUUCUAUUUUACUAAGUUUGUUUUUUUUUUUCCCCCUAAGGCUUUUAUCUUUUUUUUUCAUGGAAUGCAUUCCUUUGUUUCCUCAUUUGCUUGGCUCUCUGUGUUGUUUUCUAUAGGGCAGAUUAAAGAACAAAAACAAAAACAACGAAAACAACCACUUCCAAUCUUGAAGAAGAGGCCUCAUGUAGGAGGAGCAUCUUGUUCAAUACUGCCUCAGCUCUUAGUUGUCACUUAGACUUUUGUGCUUGUCCAAGCAGCUUAUUAUCUUUUUACAGCUCCCAGGAGUUGAGGGUGUGCCUAGACUUGUUAGCGUCCAUAAGGGAGAGCAUCCUGGCUCUUAGACUGAGACUGAGACUUUUUGGAAGGCAAAUUCUCAGGCAGAAGCUUUUAAAAGUAUGCAAAUGUAUCAUAUGGGGCCAUAAAUAUAACCCUGGCCAGACAAUAAAUAUAACAAUGGCCAGACAAUCUAGCAUUUUCCCCUAGGCAGCAGUCACAAAAUCAGGGCUCCAGAUAGUGUAUACAGCUAUUUUCUGGGUGAUAACUGGCAAGCUGGAGUAAGGCCAAGAAAGAGUACCAAGAUGGUGUCUGCAGCUUAUAUUCCUUGAGAGUAGCUCUGCAGUCCGUUAGAGGUACACCCAACCUAAAGCCUGCCUGUCAAUCUAAAGCUCCAAGACAUAUAAGGAGUAUAUAAGAUACCAAAGAAAAAUAGGGUGGUGGGGGGCAUGCCUUAGUCUUCUAUCUGUAGCACACUGUAGGCAAGUGCCACCUCUCUACAUAGAUUCAGGAGACCCAGGAAUGUAAGGCCCCUGACCACCAAAGCCAGGCAAUCAAGGCAAACAAUUACAACCCUGCCUCUCGGGAGCAGCUAUGAUUACUAGCUAAUAGGCCUCCUUCACACAAAGACAGAACUUCUGGGUCUAUUGCCUCUUUCUAUGCCCUAGCAGUAGUAGCUUUUUAAGAACGCUUUCUUCUUUGACUAGAGUUCUAAGGGAUCCAUAAACAUAAGCCCCAUUGGCUACCAUAGUCACCUCUUGUACUAGGAAUGCAAGCUUCCUUGGCCUCUAGAGCCAAGCUGUAAACAGGUGUACCCUGGGUAGCAGCAAUAAAAGUGAUGUCAUCAGAUAUAUGUAAAAGCUCUGUUCUCGGAGAUACUGGUGCUCUGGACCUGGCAAGAGAGAUUGCAAAUAUGGUACCCAGAAGUCUCUGCUCCUGGAGGGUGUUCAGCAAGCUCCUAAAUGUGUGUGUUAAGUUAGAUGCCUGUCCUUAGCCUGACAUUUCAAUAUAAGUAGGUGAGCCUCCUUCACUUUAAGUCUGAGCAUGACUAACUUCCUCUGAGCUGGGAAUAGGGGCAGGUAAGUACAAUUACAGAGGCCCUUUAAGAGCUACCGGUAAUAUCACUACAAUCUUGUGAUUCUCAGGAUUUGAGCCUGUUGAUUUUCAGUUAGAAGUUUAAAGGGCUCAUCUCUCAAGUGCAGGUCCUAAAACUUGAGUACUCAAUGUAGGGUUCAAACCCUUGACUCCUCAGGGAGAAGCUGUAGGGUUUGAGUUUUCUACUACUUGUAGGUUUCCUCAACAAAGGUAGAAUUUAUGGCAAGAUUGUGUUCCACCCCCUCCUGCAAUCUUCAAUGUGGUUUUCUUUCUAUUUGCCUGAUAUGUAGCAAUCAGCCAGCCUUUACAUUUUUUUUUUUUUUAAAGAGGCAAUUAUCCCUUGCAUAGCUGAAGACUCAGUUUGCCCAUGGAAAAAGGUGAGUUCACGAUGUUAUGUAGCCAUCUUGAACCUGGACCUGCAUAAAUGUGUUCUGUAAGUUUUUCCAAAUAUCCUAAAGGUACAACCUGGAUGAGAGCAAUUUUGAAGUAAGUGAAUGUGAAAAAUUUUUGCUGUUCCCAGGUUUGGUACAUGAUUUAAUGACCUAAUCCAAGGAAGGAAAUAGUUUAUAUUCCAGGCUCAGGAGUCAAGUUUGCUUUAUAUCCUCCUGACUUGAACAGGAGAUAUUUAGUAUAGACUGACGCACAAAUUAUUUAAUGUGACAAUGAAAGCAACCUAAGAAUGAAUUAAGCCCAAAGAGGAAUAGAGAAGAACAGGAAGAACCUAAGGAUUUAAUGAUACUGAGGUGCUGAUUUUAUUGUGCAUACAUUUUUGUUUCUGGCCUUUGAAUGCAUUAGCUCUGGACUUCCUCAGAAUGGAAUCUAAAUGGAAAAAGUCUUUGUCUGAGUUAUCCAACACUGCCUCUGCAUUGCUUACAGGAGAGCUCAGAGCCUCUGGUACUCACUGUAAAAUGUGGAAAGAAGAAAAAAAGGGAAAAGGAGCUUAAUUUUAUGAAUUGUUAAAUUUCAAAAGGAGAGUCCAGACAUAAGUACUGAGAAAUAAACAUGUUUUCCAGUGACCAAUGGAUUUUUCUAUAAAGGAUUAGUGCUGUAGAUUGUGGGAUUAUUGAUUAUUUCCCUUGACUUGUAUACAUUUUCUGUAUUUUCUUAAUAUUCUAAACUGUGUAUAGUUUUCCCAAUGUAAGACAAGUUAUUUUUAAAAAUGAACAAAAGACAGUUUUUCUAAUUCCCUUCAUGAUUACUUUAUAACAGGGACAUUUAGGAUCAAAGAAAAUGCUGCAUGAUCAUUUCUUACUAUUACAUUAAUUUGAGAUUGUACUUUUACUGAUACAUAUAAAAGUUAUAAACAUGCUCAUAUUUAGUCAUAAUUACAAACAUCUUAAUUUGAAUUAUGAAUAGAUUUAUAAUUAGUAAUUUUAAGCAUUAAGCCAUAGUAGUUUACUCUCACUUCAGUAACAAAUUAAUUAAAGAAAAGAUCCACGAAUAACUUACACAAAGUCAUAUAAGUUUUGGUCAUUUAGAUUUUGUCCAAAACAAAAAUGUAAUAUAUUUAAAAUUUUGUACCAGUACACAAUAUUUAGCAUAGUAUUUUCUCCAAAUGAGCCAUCCUCUAUUAGGGGUGGGGGUGUCUUUAAGAAGUGGGUAUGUUUAUUCAGUAUGAAAUGAAUAUGCAUACAAUAUCAUGAGUCUGCACAUAAAAUUGGCACUUAAAGUUUAAAGAAGCCCUAAAUAAAAGUUACAUCAAUAUAUUAAGUAUGACCAAUGAAGUAUUAAUUUACACACUAUAGGUUUUUCUAGUAAUUAAUGUCUAAGUACACUUAGCACUUUGUAUGAGCAUUUAUAUAAAAAUGCUAUUCUGACCUCUGUCAUGAAAAGACACAUCUGGGGAUCCCUGGGUGGCACAGCGGUUUGGCGCCUGCCUUUGGCCCAGGGCGCGAUCCUGGAGACCCGGGAUCGAAUCCCACGUUGGGCUCCCGGUGCAUGGAGCCUGCUUCUCCCUCUGCCUGUGUCUCUGCCUCUCUCUCUCUCUCUCUCUCUCUCUCUCUCUCUCUGUGACUAUCAUAAAUAAAUAGAAAAUUUAAAAAAAGGAAAAAAAGAAAAGACACAUCUGUCUCUCAAAAAUCAACUAAAGAACUGGCCAAAUCAAAAUCAGCUAUUUUAGAGCUCUGAUUUUGACCAAAGCCAUAUAACUAACUGGGAAGUAUUUGUUCAUGAAGACUACUUAACUUAAGCUAAGAACAGUGAAAAGUUGUGCCCAAGAGAUUGUGGCUGUUUUGCCAAAGGCUGUCCCAGAAGUCCCUUGGUUCUGUUGGCACAGUAGCUAAAAGAGGAUGGAACAGGCUAUGAAAAGCGUACCUUCACAUCACUUGGGAAAACUCACUUGAUUUGGAUGGAGCAUUGUUAGUUAAAUUGCCAAUCCUGUUGGCAACUAAAGAACGGCCAGUGGCUCCAUCAGCCAGAGAUCCAGGUCAUAUUUGGGACAAACAACAGACUAGAGGAGUAGCAUGGGGUUUAAUAGUGUGCUUUAGAGAUAGCCAUUAGGAUCUAGGGACUUUAUAAGCUGUCAACAUAUUCCUGAUGGAUGGGAGUCAGUGUACAUGCACAGCAGAGAUGGGGAUAUUAACACCCCAAGCACUCCUGGCAAAAGGCCUCUGAACAUUGUGCACAGGUGACAUGAACAAGUCCAUCAGAAGUAACAGCUAGGGAUGCUUUAAGAUGACCUGGCAUAAAACUCUCUCCAAAACACACAUAGAUCCGACAACAAGGAUUAGAAAGUUGACUGAGUUGCAGGUCUUUUGAGUUUAUCCUUUACUUAAGAUGAAUCUGAAACUAUUCAAACAGCAGUUUGGAAUAACAGGAAUUCAGACUUAAAAAUAAAAUAACACAAAUUAGAGUAGAGAAAUAACCAGUCAUACACUAUAGGCAAGGGAGGCUUCAUAAAUAUACCCAGAAACAAACAAAAUGUUUGUUACAAAAAAACAAACAAAAUGACAACAAUUUUUAGUGAAAAAAGUCAGAAUUCAGAGUUGCUCCAGUAAAUUACCAAAAUACUCAUUAUUACGCCAAAAAAUUAAACAUAAAUCAAAAAAGAAAAAGGACGAAUACAUGGAAGAAAAAAAAAAGUCUGCAUAUAUUUCUUCUAAUUGUGGAAUGUGGAAUUCAGCCAAAACAUCAAGGCAGCUUUUAUAAAUAUAUUCAGAACUGUAGAAAAUAAUAUCUAAAGAAUUAAAGCAGAACAACAAUAGCUCUGCAAAUAGUCUCAAUAAACAUAUGAUUUUUUAAAAAAUCAAUUGAUUAUUCUGGAGUUUAAAAAGUAUAAUGGUUACAAUUAAUUUUCUAGAAGAGUUUAACAGAAAAUUUGAAAAGGGAGAAGAAAGAAUCCAUGAACUUUAUGAUAAAGCAAAAUGAAUUAUCCAAACUGAAGAAGAAGGAGAAAGAAGAUUAGAUAAAAAUAAACAUAAUUUCAGAAACCUGUGAGAAUACUGCAAACACAGCAAUGUACGUGAAAUAGAAGCACAGAGGAAAGGAGAAAGAGAAAGGGGAAGAAAAAUACAUUAAGAAAUAGUAAUUCAAACUUUCCAAAUAUUAUGAAAAACUUCAAUCUACAGAUUUAAGAGGCCAAAUAAAUCCCAAAUAAAGACACAAAUGUAACAUCUAGACAUAUCAAUCAGACCAUUGAAAGCCAAAGUAAAAGAGAAAAACUUGGUAGCAGAAAGAAAUAAAUGAUCAAUAAUAUACAGCAUGAUUAAUGUCUGACAUCAGAAAUAAUAGCCAAGGGAUCCCUGGGUGGCUCAGCGGUUUGGCACCUGCCUUGGGCCCAGGGCGCGAUAUUGGAGUCCCGGGAUCAAGUCCCGCGUCAGGCCCCUUGCAUGGAGCCUGCUUCUCCCUCUGCCUGUGUCUCUGCCUCUCACUCUCUCUCUCUCUCUGUCUAUCAUGAAUAAAUAAAUAAAUAAAUCUUUAAAAAAAAAGAAAUAAUAGCCAAAAAACAGUGUUUUAUUAUAUUCAAAAUGAUGACAGAAAAGUAUUGUCAACUAAGAAUGUCAUAACCAGUAAAAUUCAUCUACCAAAAUGAAGGCAAAGUAUAUAGACAUUCUUAGGAAGAAUCCUGAGGAAACAUGUUACUACCAGACCCGACUUACAAAAGAUACUAAAAUAAAUCCUUUAGUCUGAAAUGAAAAAAAAGGAAAUAGCAAUUAAAUUGACAGAAAGAAAUUUUAAGAUACCUGGAAUUGCAAUUGUGUGGGUUUUUGCAAAAAAAAAAA